UUUCCGUAGGUGAACCUGCGGAAGGAUCAUUAUUGAAUAACCAAAGUGCAGGAACUCUCCCUGGCCCGGCCGGCCGUAGAAGCCCGCAAAACCUCAAGCACCUCCAUCUCACCCCUAUGUUCACCCCAGCGUGGGUCGCUCUUUGUCUUGUUCGGAGCAGGGCUUACGAUUUCACACACACUUUGUGUGCAGUGUAGAUUAUCUUUUUUGUUUUUGAGAUUACGUGAUCACUACCACUUUUGACAACGGUUCUCUUGGCUCUCUCAGCGCUGAAGAACA
RNAcentral lists this unclassified non-coding RNA (279 nucleotides) under plant metagenome. RNAcentral's name for it is "partial contains small subunit ribosomal RNA, internal transcribed spacer 1, and 5.8S ribosomal RNA". The record is from RNAcentral.